RNAcentral lists this transfer RNA (75 nucleotides) under Gonorynchus abbreviatus (bighead beaked sandfish). RNAcentral describes it as "tRNA-Leu (UUR)". It matches the Rfam family "tRNA". From Rfam's summary of the family: Transfer RNA (tRNA) molecules are approximately 80 nucleotides in length. Their secondary structure includes four short double-helical elements and three loops (D, anti-codon, and T loops). The record is from RNAcentral. Lineage: Eukaryota; Metazoa; Chordata; Actinopteri; Gonorynchiformes; Gonorynchidae.
GCUGGAGUGGCAGAGCCUGGUAAUUGCAGAAGACCUAAGAUCUUUCAAUCAGGGGUUCAAAUCCUCUCCCCAGCU